RNAcentral lists this ribosomal RNA (443 nucleotides) under uncultured bacterium. Its description in RNAcentral is "partial 16S ribosomal RNA". It matches the Rfam family "Bacterial small subunit ribosomal RNA", at positions 338 to 795 of the family's 1533-position model. The record is from RNAcentral.
CCUACGGGAGGCAGCAGUGGGGGAUAUUGGACAAUGGGGGGAACCCUGAUCCAGCGACGCCGCGUGAGUGAAGAAGUAUUUCGGUACGUAAAGCUCUGUCAGCAGGGAAGAAAGAAAUGACGGUACCUGACCAAGCAGCCCCGGCUAACUACGUGCCAGCAGCCGCGGUAAUACGUAGGGGGCAAGCGUUAUCCGGAAUUACUGGGGGUAAAGGGAGCGUAGACGGUUAAGUAAGUCUGGAGUGAAAGGCCGGGGCCCAACCCCGGGACUGCUCUGGAAACUAUUCAACUUGAGUGCAGGAGAGGUAAGCGGAAUUCCUAGUGUAGCGGUGAAAUGCGUAGAUAUUAGGAGGAACACCAGUGGCGAAGGCGGCUUACUGGACUGUAACUGACGUUGAGGCUCGAAAGCGUGGGGAGCAAACAGGAUUAGAUACCCCUGUAGUC